UACACGGUUGUUUGCGAAAACCCAUCGAUGGGUAAAAAAACACCCAUUUUUAAAUAGCAUUAAUAUCUGUCAUAAAAUGGGGAAAUUUCUCAAUCAUGCAAUGGGUAAAAAAAUACCCAUUAAAGGACACCUCACACAUUAGAAAAAUGUUUAUUUUUUUACACAUUAAUGGUUGAAAAAAAGUUAUGAAACAAAGCCGUACCGCGCGGUUGGUGAAAAGCGCUGCUUGUAUCAAUUUUUAAUAUUAAUAAAUAAAUAAUAGUUACAGUUAAUAAUAUUUGUGACCGUACACCCUCGGCCCAACGCAGAUAGUCGAGAAACGGGCCGUACUAGUCGUCUUGUGCGCACUGUGCACGAAAAAGGGAGGAACUUCGAGUCAUACGGAAAGCUAUGAAGGUGGAACUUCUCAAUCGGUCUCCGACUUACGAUGUGAUGUGCCGGAAUCGAAAACUCCGAUGGAAAUUUUAGUCACUAUCAAACAUUGUGUAUAUCAUAAAUGACAUGAAUAAAGACAAAUAAAAGUGUUUUAUUUUUGCUUUUACUGAUUAAGUACUACGAAUACCAUAAAUCUACAAUUUACCAAAAUGCUACAUAAACUAUAUCCGAAGAUGGGUAAAUUUUUACCCAUUUUGUGGGAAUCUGGCUUUUCAACAAUGGGUAAAUAAAUACCCAUUUUAUGACAUAAACUGCGUUUACCCAUUAAUGGGUAAAUCGAGUUUACCCAUUAAAUGGGGAGAGACACUUCUAGCGAAAAUGGGUGUUUUUUCACCCAUUAAUGGGUUUUCGCAAACAACCGUGUAGAGGCCUGAAUAAGGGAAACGCGGAUAGCCAUGUGCCGCCAAUCGAACCGUCAGAAAAUAGCAGCCAAUUGAGAUUCUCACGUCCGAAUGUGUGAGUGGCGAUAAAAGGAAAACAAACACUCCUAGAUGGUGCUACUCAGCAAAGUUUGGGUAAAAAUGAGUAUAUUUCCAUAUAUUUUUUGACUCCUUCGCAACCAUCGUGAUGCCUCGAUCUAUUUUGAGGUUAUGAGCAGAAGGAAAACAAACAUGUAUUUACACAUGCCGAAUUGCACAUCAGUGUGCGAGCGUUAAACGUCACUCAUCUCUAUCGAGCAGGGGACCUGUCAAGCAGCCAAAAUGCUGGCUCAAAUACUGAAAAUGGCCAAAUUCGAUUUUAUGCCAUUUAUCAACAAACAAAAUUGAAUGUAUUUUAUAUUAGUUUGCAAUAAUAUAUGCAAGUCAUUAAUAGAUUAUGAAAUGAAAUUCCAUUGUUUAUUGGAUUCAAUUGUUAUGUAAUAUGGACACAUAAAAUAGCGGAUUGUGAGAUUUUAUCUACAUAAACCAUUUCUUCCUUUUCAUGUGUUGUUCUUUGAUGAAGAAGAUUGAAUGCAGUGUUGGCAGAGUCAUAUUUUCUAUCCGCGUUUCUCUUAUUCAGGCCUCUACUCUUACCUACUCUACUCUAUUGAGAUUCUCACGUCCGAAUGUGUGAGUGGCGAUAAAAGGAAAACAAACACUCCUAGAUGGUGCUACUCAGCAAAGUUUGGGUAAAAAUGAGUAUAUUUCCAUAUAUUUUUUGACUCCUUCGCAACCAUCGUGAUGCCUCGAUCUAUUUUGAGGUUAUGAGCAGAAGGAAAACAAACAUGUAUUUACACAUGCCGAAUUGCACAUCAGUGUGCGAGCGUUAAACGUCACUCAUCUCUAUACAUAUCCCAAAAUCCACGUAAAAAUAGCGUAAAAUAAAAAUAAAAACGCGCAAAUUUUAGUAAAACACAUGGACACAUCAAAGUAAUUUAUUAUUGAAUCUUUCUUUAGCUUUGAAUUAUUGAGCUCAAAAUUGGAUCUGUGGCAUAUACUCGAAUAAACAUUAAAUUUAUAAUAUUUGUCGAAACAAUAUUUCAAUUGACCAAACAUAUCGUAUCAGCAUAAUGUUCAUAUCGGUUGCAACUGUUCAAUCAAUUGAACAGCACUUCUGUUUACAUUUCUCGCGCUAAAAAUCAUAGAGGCGUUACUGCAUUGAUCGAUUCCUCUUCAUCGAUGUUUUCUUUCCAGCAAUGCAGCGAAUUGCGGCAGCUUUCCGAGGAUAGAGGUGUGCGCCGGUCCAAUAUUCAUCGGCGGCGGCGUUUGUCAGAAUUUUGGUCGGCGGCGGCGGCGUUUUCGGCGUCACGCCGAUAGCCAUUUUAGCCGGCGGCGGCGUGCAUCGGCGUGGCGUUUUUUUUUUAUCACGUCCCUUAAUUUUUUUGCCUUUUUCCUAAAUAUUUAUUUGGAAAUUAUUUAGGACAAAUCAAGCAUCCGAAAGAUAUUCAAUUUGCAAAAAAAAACUAACCGCGAUGGAGGUUUGUACUCUGAUGGCUUUUCCGCAAAUGUGACCUUUAAGUGGUCUUGUUGUGUAGGGGUUAUCACGCCUAUCUAGAGAGUAGGAGGUUGAGAGUUCCAGUCCCUCCAAGACACGUGGAUUUUUUUUCGCAAAUUUCAUAUCAAUUUGUCCAUUUUGAAACAUGUGCUGUGCAUAUGCACAGCCAAGAUAUUCAACAAAAAAAAGGUUUUCGAGUUGCCGAAUAAUAUGCAGUUAAUUGUAAUUUUCCUCGGGAACUACUCUGAAGUUUAGACAAAUGGAAUUACCAAGAGAAGCUUUCAGCAAAAAAUUCGUCAAGAGAAACUCGUCAGAAUUUUCACGAGAAAUUGUUCUAAAUUUCUACAGGAAAAUCCUCGGAAUAUACACGGAAAGUUCUUGUCGAGUUUCUGUUGAAUAUUCUUCGAAAUUUACUUCAUAAUUGUAGGAAAAUGCGACUGAUAGAAUGGGUGUUUUAACGUUGGCUUGCUCAGACUAAAAUAAUUAGUCUCCGGAAUUUGACGGGAACUUUAAUAGAAUUUCCGCGAAUGAUUGUUCAAAAUGUAGAUUUUAAUAUGAAAAAUCUUUGCAUUUAAACGGAAAAUUGUUCGGAAUUUUUAAGGAAUUUUAGGAAAUUCUCUGUACAAUAGAUGUUUGACAACUGAAACUUAUUCAACUGCAAUGCUUUCUAACUGCAAUUUAAUAGUUACAUCAGUUUUGUAGUUAUCGGACCGCUAAACUUCGAAACGAUUUUAAAUUCGAUGAUAGCUGCAUUGCGCUGAACAAUCAAAUGUACUUAUAUUGCAUCUGAAGUUGUCGGACGUGACAAUAGUUGGACGUUUAGAACGUUUAGAACUGCAUUCGCUAACUAAAACGAAAACAUAUUGCAGUUAUCGAACGACUAGUGUAUUGUCCAUAAGACAUUCUUGGGAAAUUCAGUUGGCCGAAAGCGUCAAGCGGCCGAACUGAUAAUUUGGCCGAAAAAAUCGUUUAUCCUAACAGGUCGUUUGGCCGAAUAGAUCAUCUAAUCAAAUCCUAUUAAGCUGAACUUAACGUUUAUCCGCAACUAUUAUCAGGUCGAAAAUGGUUUGACAAAAAAUGUAGUUUGGUCGAAAGCGACAUACAGCCAAAAGGAACAUUCGGCCGAACUGGUAAUUAGGCCGAAAAAAUCAUUUAACCAAAUAAAUCAUUAGACCGAAAAUGCCGUGUGGUAGGAAUGGUCAUUUGACACGAAAAUAUCCUUUCUGCAAAAUACCCUUCCGGCCAAAUGGCAA
Armigeres subalbatus is the source of this 3602-nucleotide long non-coding RNA. RefSeq lists it as uncharacterized. The record is from RefSeq and is a predicted model, not a curated record. NCBI's taxonomy places the organism in Eukaryota, Metazoa, Arthropoda, Insecta, Diptera, Culicidae. The transcript has 3 exons.